Molecule: ribosomal RNA, 446 nt
Filed under: uncultured bacterium
Lineage: Bacteria
Description: partial 16S ribosomal RNA
Rfam family: Bacterial small subunit ribosomal RNA
Source: RNAcentral
CCUACGGGAGGCAGCAGUAGGGAAUUUUCGGCAAUGGGGGGAACCCUGACCGAGCAACGCCGCGUGAACGAAGAAGUUAUUCGUAAUGUAAAGUUCUUUUAACAGGGAAGAAAGAGAAAUUUGACGGUACCUGAAGAAUAAGCUCCGGCUAACUACGUGCCAGCAGCCGCGGUAAUACGUAGGGAGCGAGCGUUAUCCGGAUUUAUUGGGUUUAAAGGGUGCGUAGGCGGGCAUUUAAGCCGGCGGUCAAAUGUCGGGGCUCAACCCCGGCCUGCCGUCGGAACUGGGUGCCUUGAGUGGGCGAGAAGUAUGCGGAAUGCGUGGUGUAGCGGUGAAAUGCAUAGAUAUCACGAAGAACUCCGAUUGCGAAGGCAGCUCACUGGACUGCAACUGACACUGAUGCUCGAAAGUGUGGGUAUCAAACAGGAUUAGAUACCCCUGUAGUC